UUUUCUUUCUUUGCUGAGUCUCAGGGGGAGGGCCUCACUGGCGGGGUUCUUAACUAAUUGCAGUAUAAAUAUGCAACCACUUUUGGCUGAACAAAUUAUUUUCUUUAAAACGAACUCCAGGUCAGUGAGUUCAGGUAGAGAAAACUGAUGGGCUGAGAUUUCCACAAUCAAACCCAGAAAGAAACUUCCAGGUCAUACCAGGACACUGAGAGCCUCUGUCCCUUCUUCCUGUCCUCCUGAGUGUAUGUUCCCAUGGCCUUCGCUGUGAGUGGAAAAGUCUGAAGCAGG
Long non-coding RNA from Mesocricetus auratus (golden hamster), 288 nucleotides. RefSeq lists it as uncharacterized. The transcript has 3 exons. The record is from RefSeq and is a predicted model, not a curated record. NCBI's taxonomy places the organism in Eukaryota, Metazoa, Chordata, Mammalia, Rodentia, Cricetidae.